AUGUUUCAGCAGUGCAUAAACAAAACAACUGCAAUGAUACCAAGAUGAUUAGCACAGCCCCUGCACAAUAAUGACACCCAAAUUUGUGAAGUGUUCUAUAUUUUU
This is a small nuclear RNA of Alexandromys fortis (reed vole), 105 nucleotides long. The record is from RefSeq and is a predicted model, not a curated record. NCBI's taxonomy places the organism in Eukaryota, Metazoa, Chordata, Mammalia, Rodentia, Cricetidae.